CGUAGGUGGCAAGCGUUGUCCGGAAUUAUUGGGCGUAAAGCGCGCGCAGGCGGUUCCUUAAGUCUGAUGUGAAAGCCCCCGGCUCAACCGGGGAAGGUCAUUGGAAACUGGGGAACUUGAGUGCUGAAGAGAAGAGCGGAAUUCCACGUGUAGCGGUGAAAUGCGUAGAGAUGUGGAGGAACACCAGUGGCGAAGGCGGCUCUUUGGUCUGUAACUGACGCUGAGGCGCGAAAGCGUGGGGAGCAAACAGGAUUAGAUACCCUGGUAGUCCACGCCGUAAACGAUGAGUGCUAAGUGUUAGAGGGUUUCCGCCCUUUAGUGCUGCAGCUAACGCAUUAAGCACUCCGCCUGGGGAGUACGGCCGCAAGGCUG
Molecule: ribosomal RNA, 372 nt
Filed under: uncultured organism
Description: bacterial SSU rRNA
Rfam family: Bacterial small subunit ribosomal RNA
Source: RNAcentral